GUAGCAAGGUUAACCGAAUAGGGGAGCCGGAGGGAAACCGAGUCUUAACCGGGCGUUAAGUUGCAGGGUAUAGACCCGAAACCCGGUGAUCUAGCCAUGGGCAGGUUGAAGGUUGGGUAACACUAACUGGAGGACCGAACCGACUAAUGUUGAAAAAUUAGCGGAUGACCUGUGGCUGGGGGUGAAAGGCCAAUCAAACCGGGAGAUAGCUGGUUCUCCCCGAAAGCUAUUUAGGUAGCGCCUCGUGAAUUCAUCUCCGGGGGUAGAGCACUGUUUCGGCUAGGGGGCCAUCCCGGCUUACCAACCCGAUGCAAACUGCGAAUACCGGAGAAUGUUAUCACGGGAGACACACGGCGGGUGCUAACGUCCGUCGUGAAGAGGGAAACAACCCAGACCGCCAGCUAAGGUCCCAAAGUCAUGGUUAAGUGGGAAACGAUGUGGGAAGGCCCAGACAGCCAGGAUGUUGGCUUAGAAGCAGCCAUCAUUUAAAGAAAGCGUAAUAGCUCACUGGUCGAGUCGGCCUGCGCGGAAGAUGUAACGGGGCUAAACCAUGCACCGAAGCUGCGGCAGCGACACUGUGUGUUGUUGGGUAGGGGAGCGUUCUGUAAGCCUGUGAAGGUGUGUCGUGAGGCAUGCUGGAGGUAUCAGAAGUGCGAAUGCUGACAUAAGUAACGAUAAAGCGGGUGAAAAGCCCGCUCGCCGGAAGACCAAGGGUUCCUGUCCAACGUUAAUCGGGGCAGGGUGAGUCGACCCCUAAGGCGAGGCCGAAAGGCGUAGUCGAUGGGAAACGGGUUAAUAUUCCCGUACUUGGUGUUACUGCGAAGGGGGGACGGAGAAGGCUAUGUUGGCCGGGCGACGGUUGUCCCGGUUUAAGCGUGUAGGUGUGUGUUCCAGGUAAAUCCGGUUCACUUUAACACUGAGGCGUGACGACGAGGCACUACGGUGCUGAAGCAACAAAUGCCCUGCUUCCAGGAAAAGCCUCUAAGCAUCAGGUAACAUCAAAUCGUACCCCAAACCGACACAGGUGGUCAGGUAGAGAAUACCAAGGCGCUUGAGAGAACUCGGGUGAAGGAACUAGGCAAAAUGGUGCCGUAACUUCGGGAGAAGGCACGCUGACACGUAGGUGAAGUGAUUUACUCAUGGAGCUGAAGUCAGUCGAAGAUACCAGCUGGCUGCAACUGUUUAUUAAAAACACAGCACUGUGCAAACACGAAAGUGGACGUAUACGGUGUGACGCCUGCCCGGUGCCGGAAGGUUAAUUGAUGGGGUCAGCGCAAGCGAAGCUCCUGAUCGAAGCCCCGGUAAACGGCGGCCGUAACUAUAACGGUCCUAAGGUAGCGAAAUUCCUUGUCGGGUAAGUUCCGACCUGCACGAAUGGCGUAAUGAUGGCCAGGCUGUCUCCACCCGAGACUCAGUGAAAUUGAACUCGCUGUGAAGAUGCAGUGUACCCGCGGCAAGACGGAAAGACCCCGUGAACCUUUACUAUAGCUUGACACUGAACAUUGAGCCUUGAUGUGUAGGAUAGGUGGGAGGCUUUGAAGUGUGGACGCCAGUCUGCAUGGAGCCGACCUUGAAAUACCACCCUUUAAUGUUUGAUGUUCUAACGUGGACCCGUUACCCGGGUUGCGGACAGUGUCUGGUGGGUAGUUUGACUGGGGCGGUCUCCUCCUAAAGAGUAACGGAGGAGCACGAAGGUUGGCUAAUCCUGGUCGGACAUCAGGAGGUUAGUGCAAUGGCAUAAGCCAGCUUGACUGCGAGCGUGACGGCGCGAGCAGGUGCGAAAGCAGGUCAUAGUGAUCCGGUGGUUCUGAAUGGAAGGGCCAUCGCUCAACGGAUAAAAGGUACUCCGGGGAUAACAGGCUGAUACCGCCCAAGAGUUCAUAUCGACGGCGGUGUUUGGCACCUCGAUGUCGGCUCAUCACAUCCUGGGGCUGAAGUAGGUCCCAAGGGUAUGGCUGUUCGCCAUUUAAAGUGGUACGCGAGCUGGGUUUAGAACGUCGUGAGACAGUUCGGUCCCUAUCUGCCGUGGGCGCUGGAGAACUGAGGGGGGCUGCUCCUAGUACGAGAGGACCGGAGUGGACGCAUCACUGGUGUUCGGGUUGUCAUGCCAAUGGCACUGCCCGGUAGCUAAAUGCGGAAGAGAUAAGUGCUGAAAGCAUCUAAGCACGAAACUUGCCCCGAG
Molecule: ribosomal RNA, 2182 nt
Filed under: Salmonella enterica
Lineage: Bacteria; Pseudomonadati; Pseudomonadota; Gammaproteobacteria; Enterobacterales; Enterobacteriaceae
Description: partial 23S ribosomal RNA
Rfam family: Bacterial large subunit ribosomal RNA
Source: RNAcentral